UACAGAGGGGGCAAGCGUUGUUCGGAAUUACUGGGCGUAAAGGGCGCGUAGGCGGCCUGCUAAGUCGAACGUGAAAUCCCCGGGCUCAACCCGGGAACUGCGUUCGAGACUGGCGGGCUUGAAUCCGGGAGAGGGAUGCGGAAUUCCAGGUGUAGCGGUGAAAUGCGUAGAUAUCUGGAGGAACACCGGUGGCGAAGGCGGCAUCCUGGACCGGCAUUGACGCUGAGGCGCGAAAGCCAGGGGAGCAAACGGGAUUAGAAACCCCAGUAGUCC
This 273-nucleotide ribosomal RNA is filed under the name uncultured bacterium. RNAcentral's name for it is "partial 16S ribosomal RNA". It matches the Rfam family "Bacterial small subunit ribosomal RNA", at positions 524 to 796 of the family's 1533-position model. The record is from RNAcentral.